UCUCCUGGAAACGGGUGGUAAUGCCGGAUGUUCCACAUGAGCGCAUGCGAGUGUGGGAAAGGCUUUUUGCGGCAUGGGAUGGGGUCGCGUCCUAUCAGCUUGUUGGUGGGGUAACGGCCUACCAAGGCGUUGACGGGUAGCCGGCCUGAGAGGGCGACCGGCCACAUUGGGACUGAGAUACGGCCCAGACUCCUACGGGAGGCAGCAGUGGGGAAUAUUGCACAAUGGGCGCAAGCCUGAUGCAGCGACGCCGCGUGCGGGAUGGAGGCCUUCGGGUUGUAAACCGCUUUUGUUCAAGGGCAAGGCACGGUUUCGGCCGUGUUGAGUGGAUUGUUCGAAUAAGCACCGGCUAACUACGUGCCAGCAGCCGCGGUAAUACGUAGGGUGCAAGCGUUAUCCGGAUUUAUUGGGCGUAAAGGGCUCGUAGGCGGUUCGUCGCGUCCGGUGUGAAAGUCCAUCGCUUAACGGUGGAUCCGCGCCGGGUACGGGCGGGCUUGAGUGCGGUAGGGGAGACUGGAAUUCCCGGUGUAACGGUGGGAAUGUGUAGAUAUCGGGAAGAACACCA
RNAcentral lists this ribosomal RNA (565 nucleotides) under uncultured Bifidobacterium sp. RNAcentral's name for it is "bacterial SSU rRNA". It matches the Rfam family "Bacterial small subunit ribosomal RNA", at positions 146 to 711 of the family's 1533-position model. Lineage: Bacteria; Bacillati; Actinomycetota; Actinomycetes; Bifidobacteriales; Bifidobacteriaceae. The record is from RNAcentral.